RNAcentral lists this ribosomal RNA (372 nucleotides) under uncultured organism. RNAcentral's name for it is "bacterial SSU rRNA". It matches the Rfam family "Bacterial small subunit ribosomal RNA", at positions 526 to 896 of the family's 1533-position model. The record is from RNAcentral.
CAGAGGUCCCAAGCGUUGUUCGGAUUCACUGGGCGUAAAGGGUGCGCAGGUGGGCUGGUAAGUUCGAUGUGAAAGCCCCGGGCUUAACCCGGGAAUGGCAUUGGAUACUACUGGUCUGGAGGAUCGGAGGGGGGACUGGAAUUCUUGGUGUAGCAGUGAAAUGCGUAGAUAUCAAGAGGAACACCAGUGGCGAAGGCGAGUCCCUGGACGAUACCUGACACUGAGGCACGAAAGCCAAGGGAGCAAACAGGAUUAGAUACCCUGGUAGUCUUGGCUGUAAACGGUGCGCAUUUGCUGUAAACGGAAUCGACCCCGUUUGUGGCGAAGCUAACGCGAUAAAUGCGCCGCCUGGGAAGUACGGUCGCAAGAUUA